CCGCUUCAGCAGCACACAUACUAAAACUGGAAUGACACAGAGAAGACUAGCAUGGUCCUGGUAGGAGGAUGACAUGUAAACUCAUAAGUGUUCCAUAUUCUG
Molecule: small nuclear RNA, 102 nt
Organism: Pteronotus mesoamericanus
Lineage: Eukaryota; Metazoa; Chordata; Mammalia; Chiroptera; Mormoopidae
Source: RefSeq, a predicted model, not a curated record